AACGCGAAGAACCUUACCAAAUCUUGACAUCCUUCUGACCGACUCGUAAUGGAGUCUUUCCUACGGGACAGAAGAGACAGGUGGUGCAUGGUUGUCGUCAGCUCGUGUCGUGAGAUGUUGGGUUAAGUCCCGCAACGAGCGCAACCCUUAUCCUUAGUAGCCAGCAGUUCGGCUGGGCACUCUGGGGAGACUGCCAGGGAUAACCUGGAGGAAGGUGGGAAUGACGUCAAAUCAUCAUGCCCCUUAUGAUUUGGGCUACACACGUGCUACAAUGGCGUAAACAGAGGGAAGCGAAGCCGUGAGGUGGAGCAAAUCCCAAAAAUAACGUCUCAGUUCGGAUUGUAGUCUGCAACUCGACUACAUGAAGCUGGAAUCGCUAGUAAUCGCGAAUCAGAAUGUCGCGGUGAAUACGUUCCCGGGUCUUGUACACACCG
RNAcentral lists this ribosomal RNA (434 nucleotides) under uncultured bacterium. RNAcentral's name for it is "bacterial SSU rRNA". It matches the Rfam family "Bacterial small subunit ribosomal RNA", at positions 958 to 1392 of the family's 1533-position model. The record is from RNAcentral.